AGUGAACGCUGGCGGUAGGCCUAACACAUGCAAGUCGAACGGCAGCACAGUAAGAGCUUGCUCUUACGGGUGGCGAGUGGCGGACGGGUGAGGAAUACAUCGGAAUCUACUUUUUCGUGGGGGAUAACGUAGGGAAACUUACGCUAAUACCGCAUACGACCUACGGGUGAAAGCAGGGGAUCUUCGGGCCUUGCGCGAUUGAAAGAGCCGAUGUCGGAUUAGCUAGUUGGCGGGGUAAAGGCCCACCAAGGCGACGAUCCGUAGCUGGUCUGAGAGGAUGAUCAGCCACACUGGAACUGAGACACGGUCCAGACUCCUACGGGAGGCAGCAGUGGGGAAUAUUGGACAAUGGGCGCAAGCCUGACCCAGCCAUACCGCGUGAGUGAAGAAGGCCUUCGGGUUGUAAAGCCCUGUUGUUGGGAAAGAAAAGCAGCAGGUUAAUACCCCGCUGUUCUGACGGUACCCAAAGAAUAAGCACCGGCUAACUUCGUG
Molecule: ribosomal RNA, 492 nt
Filed under: uncultured bacterium
Lineage: Bacteria
Description: partial 16S ribosomal RNA
Rfam family: Bacterial small subunit ribosomal RNA
Source: RNAcentral